This 213-nucleotide unclassified non-coding RNA is filed under the name plant metagenome. RNAcentral describes it as "partial contains small subunit ribosomal RNA and internal transcribed spacer 1". The stretch from base 1 to 46 matches the Rfam family "Eukaryotic small subunit ribosomal RNA", at positions 1786 to 1831 of the family's 1831-position model. The record is from RNAcentral.
AAGUCGUAACAAGGUUUCCGUAGGUGAACCUGCGGAAGGAUCAUUAUGAAGCAUUUAUGCUAUAACUGUGUAUUACCUAUAUUUGUCAUCUGUGAAACAAUGAGCGCAGCGAGUUGAUGAGCGUAUUUGUUGUCGGUGGUUAUUAAUACAUCACCGACAAUGAAUGGUGACGGUCUUAUCAUUACAAUGUCUGAAUAAUAAAAGAGAAUAAAA